Ribosomal RNA from Mustela putorius furo (domestic ferret), 120 nucleotides. NCBI's taxonomy places the organism in Eukaryota, Metazoa, Chordata, Mammalia, Carnivora, Mustelidae. The record is from Ensembl.
GUCUACGCCCAUACCACCCUGAACGCGCCUGAUCUCAUCUGAUCUCGGAAGCUAAGAUAUGGUCUUAGACAGAUAUGGGUUUAGCCAUGGUAGUGCUUGGUAGCUCUGCAGUUUUGGACA